UGGAUCCAUAGUGACCAACAGUGGCGAAUGAGUCAGGGGUGAUGAAUGCAUGUGUAUCCCAAACUCUGAGGUCCAG
Heterocephalus glaber (naked mole-rat) is the source of this 76-nucleotide small nucleolar RNA. Lineage: Eukaryota; Metazoa; Chordata; Mammalia; Rodentia; Bathyergidae. The record is from Ensembl.